This 671-nucleotide ribosomal RNA is filed under the name uncultured Acidobacteriota bacterium. RNAcentral's name for it is "bacterial SSU rRNA". It matches the Rfam family "Bacterial small subunit ribosomal RNA", at positions 60 to 763 of the family's 1533-position model. Lineage: Bacteria; Pseudomonadati; Acidobacteriota. The record is from RNAcentral.
AGUCGAACGAGAAAGUGGAGCAAUCCAUGAGUACAGUGGCGUACGGGUGAGUAACACGUGGGUAAUCUACCUUUUAGUGAGGAAUAACCAAGGGAAACUUUGGCUAAUACCGCAUAAGCCUGAGAAGGGAAAGUCGAAAGACGCUGAAAGAGGAGCCCGCGGCCGAUUAGCUAGUUGGUGAGGUAAGAGCCCACCAAGGCAGAGAUCGGUAGCCGGCCUGAGAGGGCACACGGCCACACUGGCACUGAAACACGGGCCAGACUCCUACGGGAGGCAGCAGUGGGGAAUCUUGCACAAUGGGGGAAACCCUGAUGCAGCGACGCCGCGUGAGCGAUGAAGCCCUUCGGGGUGUAAAGCUCUUUCGCCAGGGAAGAUAGUGACGGUACCUGGAGAAGCAGCUGCGGCUAACUACGUGCCAGCAGCCGCGGUAAUACGUAGGCAGCAAGCGUUGUUCGGAGUUACUGGGCGUAAAGGGUGUGUAGGCGGUUCUUUAAGUUUGGUGUGAAAUCUCCCGGCUUAGCCGGGAGGGUGCGCCGAAUACUGAGGGACUAGAGUACGGGAGAGGAAAGUGGAAUUCCUGGUGUAGCGGUGAAAUGCGUAGAUAUCAGGAGGAACACCGGUGGUGUAGACGGCUUUCUGGACCGUAACUGACGCUGAGACACGAAAGCGUG